Molecule: small RNA, 26 nt
Filed under: Bombyx mori (domestic silkworm)
Lineage: Eukaryota; Metazoa; Arthropoda; Insecta; Lepidoptera; Bombycidae
Description: ovarian small RNA-9413
Source: RNAcentral
UUAGCUGCUUCACCUUGUUACUGCGG